AGUUACACACCAUCCGCCGCGAAAGACGGUCGCAAAAAUUGCACGGGGAACCCUUUUCUGUCUUUCUGUGAUUUUUGCUCACAUUUAUAGCUUCUUCAUGCUGCCAGAGCAAAAAAUUCUUGAAUGAAGCUGUGGAUAUAUUUUUUGCGUGGAUUUUAUCAACAGCAAAGGACAAGUCAAUUUAAAAUAGGUACUUAAAGAGCGAAAAAGAUCAUAAAGAACAAGCUGAGACUGAAGGUGAAGUGACCGCCAGAAGGUUGACGAGUAAAUCGAAAGAUCAUCCGCCAAGAUGCAAGAACGGACUGUGCGUAUACCAGAAUGGUAUGCUGGCCGUACGAUUUUCAUAACAGGAGCCACGGGGUUCAUGGGGAAGGUGUUGGUGGAAAAAUUGCUACACGACUGUCCAGACAUUGAGCGUCUCUAUCUUCUAGUCCGUGCCAAAAGGGGUGUUGAACCUGAACAGAGGCGUGAAGAAUAUGUUAAUCACAUGGCAUUUGAGCGAGUUCGCCAAAUUCAGCCGAAACGCUUAGAGAAGAUUCACAUGGUUAAAGGUGAUGUGACUCUCGAUGAUCUGGGUCUAUCGGAAGAGGAUCGCAAUGAAGUCACAACGAAGGUUUCAGUGAUUUUUCAUUGUGCUGCCAACGUUCGUUUCGAUCAGCCACUCAAAGAGGCAGUGAACAUGAACACACAGGGCACCUACAGAGUCCUCAAAUUGGCUGAGACUGUUAAUAACCUCGAUGCUUUUGUUCAUGUCUCCACCGCGUAUUGCCAGUGUGAUGAGCCGGUGCUGGAAGAGCGCGGCUACCCAGCCCCCCACAAUCCUCUCGGAAUAGUGCAGAUGACUAAUCUGCUAGAUAAUGAUAUUCUUGAGCAUCUCACGCCAAAGUUGCUCAAAACCCUUCCCAACACGUACGCUUACACAAAGGCCCUCACUGAAGAUCUCGUGGCAUCAUUCAAAGGCAAAUUCCCAAUCGCCAUUGCACGCCCCUCGAUCGUCACUGCUGCCACUAAAGAACCCUACCCAGGAUGGGUGGAGGGAACAAAUGGACCAACUGGACUGAUGGUCGGUGCUGGUCGUGGAGUCAUUCGGAGUAUGCACUGCAAUCCCAAUUACCCAGCCGAUGCCAUUCCCGUCGACAUCACCAUGAAUACGAUUAUUGCCCUAGCUUGGCAACGUGGGCAGAACAAAUCUUUGGACAUUCAGUACACAAAUGUUGUGGCAUCAAAUGAUAAUUCCCUAUCAUGGGGCGAGAGUAUAGAACGUGGAAAGGCUGAAUUCUACAGGAAUCCACUCUGUUUCUCCCUGUGGUACCCAAAGGGCUCCAUCAAAUCCAACUAUUUCCACCAUUUAUUUUGUGUGAUAUUCUUCCAUUAUCUGCCAGCUUACUUUAUUGACUUUCUUCUAGUGAUCUUCAGGAAAAAGCCAUUCAUGGUGCGUGUUCAGAAUAAAGUUACAAUGGGAUUGAAAGUUUUGCAGUACUACACAACGAAGAAAUGGGACUUUAAGAACACAAAUAUGACAAAACUCUAUAGCUCAAUGGAUGAUCGUGAUAAGGAGAUUUUCAAUUUUGAUUGCAUGACAAUAGACUGGCAUGAAUACAUAAGAAAUUACAUUUACGGUGUACGCACGUACCUCCUAAAUGAACCUCCGUCUACUCUUCCUCAGGCUCGAAAACUGCUCAAGAGAUUGUACUAUCUAGAUAAACUCGUUACAUUUAUCUUCUAUGGUUUUCUACUCUGGCUAAUUUGGACCAAUUUGGAUGUUAUUGGAAGUUCUGUUCACUUUGUCUUUGAACAGUCUAAAAAUUUACUCACCAAGUCCUCAUCUUAGCGCUAAGUCAAUUAUCUUUGGUUCUGAUUAAAUUUUAUCGUCAGGUAGAUGUAUGGUUUUAACGUUUAAGAAGUCAUUAAAGGAAAUGUGGUUUUCCUUAAAAAGAUUAUACUCAAUAGAUUUAAAUAAAUAAACUUUUAUGUGUUUUUUGGUAGAUAAGAAAAAAAUAAAAAAAAAUAAAAUAAAAAAUUACUCUGCGUUGAUACCACUGCUU
Molecule: RNA transcript, 2045 nt
Organism: Lutzomyia longipalpis
Lineage: Eukaryota; Metazoa; Arthropoda; Insecta; Diptera; Psychodidae
Gene name: putative fatty acyl-CoA reductase CG5065
Exons: 10
Source: RefSeq, a predicted model, not a curated record